GUAGGUGGCAAGCGUUGUCCGGAAUUAUUGGGCGUAAAGCGCGCGCAGGCGGUUCUUUAAGUCUGAUGUGAAAGCCCACGGCUCAACCGUGGAGGGUCAUUGGAAACUGGAGAACUUGAGUACAGAAGAGGAAAGCGGAAUUCCACGUGUAGCGGUGAAAUGCGUAGAGAUGUGGAGGAACACCAGUGGCGAAGGCGGCUUUCUGGUCUGUAACUGACGCUGAGGCGCGAAAGCGUGGGGGAGCAAACAGGAUUAGAUACCCUGGUGGUCCACGCCGUAAACGAUGAGUGCUAAGUGUUAGGGGGUUUCCGCCCCUUAGUGCUGCAGCUAACGCAUUAAGCACUCCGCCUGGGAGUACGGCCGCAAGGCUG
This 371-nucleotide ribosomal RNA is filed under the name uncultured organism. Its description in RNAcentral is "partial 16S ribosomal RNA". It matches the Rfam family "Bacterial small subunit ribosomal RNA", at positions 527 to 896 of the family's 1533-position model. The record is from RNAcentral.